Molecule: ribosomal RNA, 325 nt
Filed under: uncultured eukaryote
Lineage: Eukaryota
Description: partial 18S ribosomal RNA
Rfam family: Eukaryotic small subunit ribosomal RNA
Source: RNAcentral
CCCUUAGAUGUUCUGGGCCGCACGCGCGCUACACUGAAGGGAUCAGCGUGUUUUCCCUUUCCGAGAGGAACGGGUAACCCGCUGAACCCCCUUCGUGGUAGGGAUCGGAGCUUGCAAUUGUUCUCCGUGAACCAGGAAUUCCCAGUAAGCGCAAGUCAUAAGCUUGCGUUGAUUACGUCCCUGCCCUUUGUACACACCGCCCGUCGCUCCUACCGAUUGAGUGGUCCGGUGAGGCUUUGGGAUCUGAGCAAAGAGAGCGUUUCGCUCGUUUUGCCCGGAAAACUCAGCCGAACCUUAUCAUUUAGAGGAAGGAGAAGUCGUAACA